CGUAGGGUGCGAGCGUUAAUCGGAAUUGCUGGGCGUAAAGCGUGCGCAGGCGGUUUUGUAAGACAGAUGUGAAAUCCCCGGGCUCAACCUGGGACCUGCAUUUGUGACUGCAAGGCUAGAGUACGGUAGAGGGGGAUGGAAUUCCGCGUGUAGCAGUGAAAUGCGUAGAUAUGCGGAGGAACACCGAUGGCGAAGGCGAUCCCCUGGACCUGUACUGACGCUCAUGCACGAAAGCGUGGGGAGCAAACAGGAUUAGAUACCCUGGUAGUCCACGCCCUAAACGAUGUCAACUGGUUGUUGGGUCUUUACUGACUCAGUAACGAAGCUAACGCGUGAAGUUGACCGCCUGGGGAGUACGGCCGCAAGGUUG
Molecule: ribosomal RNA, 370 nt
Filed under: uncultured organism
Description: bacterial SSU rRNA
Rfam family: Bacterial small subunit ribosomal RNA
Source: RNAcentral